Molecule: ribosomal RNA, 460 nt
Filed under: uncultured bacterium
Lineage: Bacteria
Description: partial 16S ribosomal RNA
Rfam family: Bacterial small subunit ribosomal RNA
Source: RNAcentral
CCUACGUGAGGCAGCAGUGAGGAAUAUUGGUCAAUGGACGAGAGUCUGAACCAGCCAAGUAGCGUGAAGGAUGACUGUCCUAUGGGUUGUAAACUUCUUUUAUAUGGGAAUAAAAUGUUCCACGUGUGGGAUUUUGUAUGUACCAUAAGAAUAAGGAUCGGCUAACUCCGUGCCAGCAGCCGCGGUACUACGGAGGAUCCGAGCGUUAUCCGGAUUUAUUGGGGUUAAAGGGUGCGUAGGUGGAUUGGUAAGUCAGUUGUGAAAGUUUGCGGCUCAACCGUAAAAUUGCAGUUGAAACUGGCGGUCGUGAGUACAGUAGAGGUAGGCGGAAUUCGUGGUGUAGCGGUGAAAUGCUUAGAUAUCACGAAGAACUCCGAUUGCGAAGGCAGCUCACUGGACUGCAACUGACACUGAGGCUCGAAAGUGUGGGUAUCAAACAGGAUUAGAUACCCCAGUAGUC